RNAcentral lists this transfer RNA (69 nucleotides) under Spinacia oleracea (spinach). It matches the Rfam family "tRNA". From Rfam's summary of the family: Transfer RNA (tRNA) molecules are approximately 80 nucleotides in length. Their secondary structure includes four short double-helical elements and three loops (D, anti-codon, and T loops). The record is from Rfam by way of RNAcentral. Lineage: Eukaryota; Viridiplantae; Streptophyta; Magnoliopsida; Caryophyllales; Amaranthaceae.
GCGGAUAUAAAAAAUGGUAAGUCUUCUCCUUCCCAGGAGAAGAUGCGGGUUCGAUUCCCGCUAUUCGCU